CCUACGGGAGGCAGCAGUGGGGAAUAUUGGACAAUGGGCGAAAGCCUGAUCCAGCAAUACCGCGUGUGUGGAGAAGGCCUUCGGGUUGUAAAGCACUUUAAGCAGGGAAGAAAAAAUUCAAGCUAACAUCUUGAGUCUUGACGGUACCUGAAGAAUAAGCACCGGCUAACUCUGUGCCAGCAGCCGCGGUAAUACAGAGGGUGCAAGCGUUAAUCGGAUUUACUGGGCGUAAAGCGUGUGUAGGUGGUUGGGAAAGUCAAUUGUGAAAGCCCCGGGCUCAACUCGGGAACUGCUUUUGAUACUGUCUGACUAGAAUUCGGUAGAGGGAGGCGGAACUCCAGGUGUAGCGGUGAAAUGCGUAGAUAUCUGGAAGAACACCAAUGGCGAAGGCAACCUCCUGGGCCUGAAUUGACACUGAGACACGAAAGCGUGGGGAUCAAACAGGAUUAGAUACCCUGGUAGUCCACGCCGUAAACGAUGACAACUUGACGUCGGUUUGCUCUGCGAAUCGGUGUCGUAGCUAACGCGAUAAGUUGUCCGCCUGGGGGAGGUACGGCGCGAGUAGUAACGUAAAGUAAGUAGACGCGUGAGACGUGCGACGGACGACGACGACGGGAGGAGG
Molecule: ribosomal RNA, 622 nt
Filed under: uncultured bacterium
Lineage: Bacteria
Description: bacterial SSU rRNA
Rfam family: Bacterial small subunit ribosomal RNA (bases 1-542)
Source: RNAcentral